Molecule: ribosomal RNA, 497 nt
Filed under: uncultured bacterium
Lineage: Bacteria
Description: partial 16S ribosomal RNA
Rfam family: Bacterial small subunit ribosomal RNA
Source: RNAcentral
GAUGAACGCUGGCGGCGUGCCUAAUACAUGCAAGUCGAGCGAACAGAUGAGGAGCUUGCUCCUCUGACGUUAGCGGCGGACGGGUGAGUAACACGUGGAUAACCUACCUAUAAGACUGGGAUAACUUCGGGAAACCGGAGCUAAUACCGGAUAAUAUAUUGAACCGCAUGGUUCAAUAGUGAAAGACGGUUUUGCUGUCACUUAUAGAUGGAUCCGCGCCGCAUUAGCUAGUUGGUAAGGUAACGGCUUACCAAAGCAACGAUGCGUAGCCGACCUGAGAGGGUGAUCGGCCACACUGGAACUGAGACACGGUCCAGACUCCUACGGGAGGCAGCAGUAGGGAAUCUUCCGCAAUGGGCGAAAGCCUGACGGAGCAACGCCGCGUGAGUGAUGAAGGUCUUCGGAUCGUAAAACUCCGUUAUUAGGGAAGAACAAAUGUGUAAGUAACUAUGCACGUCUUGACGGUACCUAAUCAGAAAGCCACGGCUAACUACGUG